Molecule: unclassified non-coding RNA, 324 nt
Filed under: plant metagenome
Description: partial contains 5.8S ribosomal RNA, internal transcribed spacer 2, and large subunit ribosomal RNA
Source: RNAcentral
UUUGACCGGGCUUCGAUCGACCGCUCUUUGGCGACCGCGGAUCUGGUUAUCGAGCUGGUGGUCGACGGAACCGUGACGACGCUGGUUGGCGACGGCACAACGGUGGAAAACGUGGAGAACGUCGGACUGUCCGGUGGAAGCGGCAAUGACAGCUUCACCGGCGGUGCUGGCGACGACUACCUGGGCGGCGGUAACGGCUCGGAUACGCUGAAUGGCGGAGGUGGGGACGACGUCCUUGGGGGCGGUGACGGCUCGGAUACGCUGCACGGCGGACGCGGGGACGACUACAUUCUGGGCGGCGACGGCGACGAUCACCUCACCCUC